GAUGAACGCUAGCGACAGGCUUAACACAUGCAAGUCGAGGGGCAGCAUAAAAGUAGCAAUACUUUGGUGGCGACCGGCGCACGGGUGAGUAACGCGUAUGCAACCUACCUAUCAGAGGGGGAUAACCCGGCGAAAGUCGGACUAAUACCGCAUAAAACAGGGGCACCGCAUGGUGAUAUUUGUUAAAAAUUUAUUGCUGAUAGAUGGGCAUGCGUUCCAUUAGGUAGUUGGAGAGGUAACGGCUCACCAAGCCCACGAUGGAUAGGGGAACUGAGAGGUUGGUCCCCCACACUGGUACUGAGACACGGACCAGACUCCUACGGGAGGCAGCAGUGAGGAAUAUUGGUCAAUGGGCGAGAGCCUGAACCAGCCAAGUCGCGUGAAGGAAGAAGGAUCUAUGGUUCGUAAACUUCUUUUGCAGGGGAAUAAAGUGCAGGACGUGUCCUGUUUUGUAUGUACCCUGAGAAUAAGGAUCGGCUAACUCCGUGCCAGCAGCCGCGGUAAU
Molecule: ribosomal RNA, 505 nt
Filed under: uncultured bacterium
Lineage: Bacteria
Description: bacterial SSU rRNA
Rfam family: Bacterial small subunit ribosomal RNA
Source: RNAcentral